UGGGGGAUAUUGCACAAUGGGGGAAACCCUGAUGCAGCGACGCCGCGUGAGGGAAGAAGGUUUUCGGAUUGUAAACCUCUGUCUUCGGUGACGAAAAUGACGGUAGCCGAGGAGGAAGCCACGGCUAACUACGUGCCAGCAGCCGCGGUAAUACGUAGGUGGCAAGCGUUGUCCGGAAUUACUGGGUGUAAAGGGAGCGUAGGCGGGGAUACAAGUUGAAUGUUAAAACUAUGGGCUCAACCCAUAGUUGCGUUCAAAACUGUAUUUCUUGAGUGAAGUAGAGGUAAGCGGAAUUCCUAGUGUAGCGGUGAAAUGCGUAAAUAUUAGGAGGAACACCAGUGGCGAAGGCGGCUUACUGGGCUUUAACUGACGCUGAGGCUCGAAAGCGUGGGUAGCAAACAGG
This 403-nucleotide ribosomal RNA is filed under the name uncultured bacterium. RNAcentral describes it as "bacterial SSU rRNA". It matches the Rfam family "Bacterial small subunit ribosomal RNA", at positions 355 to 776 of the family's 1533-position model. RNAcentral also lists the same sequence under 1 other name. The record is from RNAcentral.